RNAcentral lists this unclassified non-coding RNA (494 nucleotides) under Hevea brasiliensis (rubber tree). The record is from RNAcentral. Lineage: Eukaryota; Viridiplantae; Streptophyta; Magnoliopsida; Malpighiales; Euphorbiaceae.
AAAAUUUUCAUGGGGUGAUUAUCCUCUCUCCAAAAGAUGCAACUGAUGGAGUAUGCAGCACCCCCAUUUGGAGUCAUUAACCUUUCUCCAAAAGAUGCAAGUAAAGAUGCGUGUAGCACCCCCACAUUCUCAAUCAAUAUAUAACUCAAUCACCCUGCCUACUCCUUUUCAGAGUGCUUGGCGUGACAAUUAGUAGAGCAUUCAUUACCUCCAGUGAAAUCACUUCAAUCACCCUGCCUACUUUUCAGAGCACUUGGCGUGACAAUCAGUGUAGGAUUCAUUACCUCUAAUGAAAUCACUUUAAUCACCCAACCUACUCCUUUUAGAGCGCUUGGCAUGACAAUCAAUAGAACAUUAAUUACCUCUAGUGAAAUCACUUCGAUCCCUUUCGUCUAAGGUGGUAAUAUAUGCACCGUAGAUUCUUUCAUGCUUUCCACCAUCCACGGAUCAGUGGUUGCUCUGAUACCAACUGUUACGAACCUAGGUUUUAGCAA